GUUGUAUGGUUAAGUGACUAAGCGUACACGGUGGAUGCCUUGGCAGUCAGAGGCGAUGAAGGACGUAGUAACUUGCGAUAAGCGUAGAUGAGGCAGUAACAGCCACUUGAGUCUACGAUUUCCGAAUGGGGAAACCCACUGGCAUAAGCCAGUAUCAUUGAGUGAAUACAUAGCUCAAUGAAGCGAACCGGGAGAACUGAAACAUCUAAGUACCCCGAGGAAAAGAAAUCAACCGAGAUUCCGAAAGUAGCGGCGAGCGAAAU
This 263-nucleotide ribosomal RNA is filed under the name Vibrio vulnificus. RNAcentral describes it as "partial 23S ribosomal RNA". It matches the Rfam family "Bacterial large subunit ribosomal RNA", at positions 1 to 259 of the family's 2925-position model. Lineage: Bacteria; Pseudomonadati; Pseudomonadota; Gammaproteobacteria; Vibrionales; Vibrionaceae. The record is from RNAcentral.